UAUUUGAUCUGAAAGUGAUAUAUUGUAGUUUCCACUAGUAAAACAGCUCUAGGGGGCAAUUUCUCAGUGACCUCACCAAUAAUAAUCAGACAUACUGUAUACCAUUCACGUAUAUGCACCAUGCAUGGUACCUUUUUAGUUCGCAUCUGGAAGACGGAGAAGUAAAAUAGUAGACGAUAAAUUAUCUUGCUGUAUAUAGACAUGGCGUACCCAGUGUAUGUAAAUUCAAAUAUUAAGGCUUUAGAUGUAGGAAAAUAUCUAUUUAAAACUGAUCAUGAAAGUGAUAUCGUAACUCCGAGUAAACACUGCAGUGCCGUUCUUAAAACUGUACAAAUGUAUGACUCUUAUCUUGACUCAAACGCUAGCCGCUAUAGCAUAUAACUUGACAGAAGAGCCAAUAUAAACGUACGGUAUAUAAAUCGAAUACUGAAAAAUUUGAAUAUUAUAGGAUUUAAUUAAUUAAACAGGAG
Non-coding RNA from Paramuricea clavata, 470 nucleotides. The record is from the annotation of a GenBank genome assembly. NCBI's taxonomy places the organism in Eukaryota, Metazoa, Cnidaria, Anthozoa, Malacalcyonacea, Plexauridae.